RNAcentral lists this ribosomal RNA (254 nucleotides) under uncultured bacterium. Its description in RNAcentral is "partial 16S ribosomal RNA". It matches the Rfam family "Bacterial small subunit ribosomal RNA", at positions 524 to 776 of the family's 1533-position model. The record is from RNAcentral.
CACGUAGGGGCCAAGCGUUGUCCGGAUUUAUUGGGCGUAAAGAGCUCGUAGGCGGUUCAGUCAGUCGGGUGUGAAAACUCUGGGCUCAACUCAGAGACGCCACCCGAUACUGCUGUGACUUGAGUCCGGUAGGGGAGCAGGGAAUUCCAGGUGUAGCGGUGAAAUGCGUAGAGAUGCGGAGGAACACCGAUGGCGAAGGCAGCCCCCUGGGCCAAUACUGACGCUCAGGCACGAAAGCGUGGGGAGCAAACAGG